RNAcentral lists this long non-coding RNA (1643 nucleotides) under Salmo salar (Atlantic salmon). RNAcentral's name for it is "lncRNA (ENSSSAG00000053571.2)". The record is from RNAcentral. Lineage: Eukaryota; Metazoa; Chordata; Actinopteri; Salmoniformes; Salmonidae.
CACAAAUUUAAAUUUGUUCCGCCUGAGCAAGAUCAGAGACCACUAUGAUGACACACCAAAUGUGUUUGAUGGAUCGCGGGGAAAGAGCAGGAGUAGGCUUUUGUAGGCUACAGUCCAAGCUGUCUUCCAAUGGUGCGACUACUGUCGGCAUCCAGUGAUUAUCAAUUUGCCCACUCUGGUUUUGGCACAUUCGCCCUAGCCUACAACUCGCAGUGCGGGUAGGCUACCUACAUUAUGAGAUUAUUCUGGAUAAAAACGAGAUUAUUUGUCAGAAUAAGACCCUAUUUAUUGGAAAGGAGCAUCAAACUCACUCAUCACCCUGUGAAGUGUAGCCUAAUAAUCUGCAUGCUUUCGCGAGUCGUUGUGCGAGGACCACACAACAUAUCAUCGCGUGACUCCAAUUUUACUUCGAUAUGAUGAUUAUUAUAUCAAUAUUUGCGCAUAAAAGCGUUUCCACUAACAUUUCUCCAAUAAUUAAUUUUACCGACACAAAAAGAGCCCACCAUGUUGAACGAACAAAUUGAAUGCCGGCAUUUCAUGUUUCCAUCAACCGAGUCGUCACUUUUAGUUCAUGCGCCAUGUAAUUCAUCUGCAUGAAAUUGUCGGAUGGGAAACGUGGUUAGUGACCACCAAACAAACAAAUAUUUUCGUGGGCGGAGAAAAACCUCUCGCUUCGCCUCUUUCGUCUCUUCCUCUCUGACUACACUGAGUAGAAAGUUUGGUAGCGUAGUGACAGACGCUGUGGUCAGUCUAAAGACAUGCAAGUACUGACAGGGUUUCUUGCCAGUUUUACGUUUUAAAAUGAUGUCAACAGCAAUCGCAACCUCCAACAAGUCGUUUAAAUACUUUACCAUAAGAACUUCAGAGUAAAGACGGCAAUGGAAAGGUGGAAUAGUCACGUGCGCGCUAGACUGUUCCAGAGAGAUUUUACACAAAAGGACCCAUUCAGUGGUGUCUUCAACACCUUGUCCAAAUUAGCGGAGCGGCUUGACCUAAGGGAGACAUUUUGGGAUGAGUUACAGAGACCCAGUUCUGAAGGAUAUGGUGGAAUGACAGCUGACCACAGAGAAUUACACCUCAACCUCAGAGGAGUGAACAUAUAACAGAAAAGCUCCCUCGGACAGUUUCUGACCUGACCACCGUCAUGUACCUGAAAGACGCAGAGCUUCAAUACUGCCACUCACAAUGGCGUCGUUUCACCCGUUGACUCAACAAGCAUCUCCGUAGAGCGAUGCUGCGACCAGGUGAGCAGACCAACUCCUGGAUGACUGGAGACACACAAACAACAGACACAGAACACACAGCAGUGGCAGGCACUCGCUUGCGUCCCAACUAAUAUCAAGGUCUGCUUUGGCCAGAGGAGGAUGGUGCACAAUGCCCAGGGUGGACCUUGACACAUUUUCCCAAAAGCUUCCUGUACUAAAACACACCUUGAAUGUGGCUCAAAUGUUUAUUUUUUAUUUUUUUACAUUUUAUCUAUUGAAAGAUAUUGAUUUUAAUCAAUGUAGGUAUGGGUAAAGCUAAUUAUAAACCAAACUGUAAUACUGUUGUAAAUUUUAGAUACUGUAUGUGCAGGCUUAUUUAAGUGAGUACCUAAGACCUAACUCAAUGUUUUAAUAUUAACUGUUUUAAAAUACUAUGAG